CUCACAGCAGGUCGGGCCGGUGCCGGUGCAGGAUGGCGCAGAAGGCCAGGCCGUCGCGGAACGAGGCGCUGAGGUCGCGGAUCUCCACGCCGCGGAGCGCCCGGGCUGGAGCCCCAGGCUUUCUGCUCGCAGGUGGGUGCUGUGGCAGGCUGAGGGGAGCCUCUCCUGCUUCUUCUCCCCACAGCACGGAGAAGGCUGAACGCCUGGAGAAAAGCGCCUGAAGCCGAUGAAGUCACCAGCCCUCGCUCCUGCCUUUUUUUUUUUUUUUCUGCUCAGCCCUUGAAGGAGUGGGAGAGAGCAGUAUAAGCAGGAACUGAAAACGGUUUGGAGUGAACCCUAGUUUGCCUUAAAAAAAAAAAAAAAAAAAAAAAAAGGAAAAGGCAACCUCAUUUCUGGAUCCUGUUCGGGCUUAGAUGAGGCUGCUCUUGACAUCAGCAGCGCUCAGAAUUGCUAGGGCAUGAGCCGCUGCAGCAGAGGAUGUGAAAACAUCGGACAGCAAAGUACAUAUGGGACAUGGGUGUCUCCAGGGGUAGGCUCUGGGCCAGGGAGGGCUUUGAAGAUAAGAACAUUUGGAGUUGCAGGCGGUACUUCGCAGGAAGCCCUGGAAGAAGUGGAGGAAGAGCACGAUACGAUCUCAGGAACCCAUGACACUGGGAAGAUGGAUUGUCACAAGCAUUGGCUUGUAUGCUGAGUGUAACGAUCUGACAAGGGGAAGGGGGGAAGCACGCUAUUAAGCAUUUGCUUAUUUUGCUAAAGCUUUUUUUUCCAUUUCCAGUUAGACAAUCUAUACCUACCUCUGUGGAAGACUGAUCCAUCACACACUGAUGUCAAGCUUAUUGCUGCCAAUCCCAAAUCUGGAGUCCCCUCUUCCUCUGCACAUUUUUAAGUGGGCUGUGCAUUCCAUUCUCCUCUCAGAUCUCACGCUUAGCACCAUCCAUACUCCAUUCCUUCCUUGCUCUGUUUCAUUCUAUCACUCCCUGUCCCCAAAAGCUGUAACAGGUGAAAAAAAAUAGGUUCUCUGGGGUUCAGCCCCUCUUUAAGUGCCCAAGACAAGCUGUGGCAUAAAUCACUAGAAAAGAUACUAUGUAGAGAAGAAAGGAAGGAAGUAUUGCCACGACUUUGUAGCAACAGGGCUGGCUGCUCAGCCUUCCCCAGACGUGCCUGACAGAAUCUUCCUGCUGUAUCCUAAGGGAGCACAGGCUCAGGGAUGUUUACUUAACUGCCUUUUCCAGGGUUGCUCGCUCCAUACUUGCUCCCCUCACGACUGCAGGUCAGAGAGACAAAGUAGAUAACCCUGUGCUGCAGCUCCCUCUUAAAACCACGUUGACCAGAACCGCCUGAGAGCGCAUCUGCUAUCCGAACCUUGCUGCGGCACGCGAGGCUGAGUUUCAAGCGGUGCCAGGCACCACGUCUCACUGAGCCCAUCUUUCCGCUCUGUGAGAGAGCUGCAGCUCUUCCUGGCUCCAUUCCACAAGUGCCAGCCCCGGUCAGUUAACCUUCAGCAGUCCCUCACGAGGCGUGGAGCCAGGCAGCCCAGCUGCGCCAGGCAGCGGAUGGUCUCUGUGCAUCCUCAGGAAGACACUCUGGCAGGCACAAAGACAAGCAGCAACGUAUUCGCCUAUGCGAAAACAGCCUGAAAACACUGGAGGGUUUAAGUUGGUAAAUACAUGCAGUGAAACUUUGUCAUCCAAACACAUCAAUCACGGAUUAAAAAUGGACUAAAUCCCAGUAACACAUUUGAUUCGUUUUCUAUGCUGUGAAUUAGAUCAUGGAGAUGCUGCCUUGCCAGAGGUUCCUCUGUUGUAUAUCACAUCUACCUUAGCACAUUAUCUGUGAAAAACUUGGGCUUCGGAUAAUGAGAAAGCGAGAGGGGUGUUGCUGCUGACAGCUCUAGUCACUGUGCUGCUGUUGGUAAAUAUACCCAGGCAGAAGAGUCACAGAAUCACAGAAUCAUCUAGGUUGGAAGAGCCAGCCCUAAAAAUUAAAAGGACCAGAUUCUCUUGGAACACCACCCAGCUCCUGUUUUGCUGCAAUGCAGCAGCAUCUCAAUCCUUCCAUUUAAUGAUUUGGUUGCCCCAAACCCUUCAAAACCAGGCAUAAGUUCUGAGCAAGCACAACACCAGCAGCAGCAGCUAGAAGGCCAACAGGAGUCGCCCACUUAAACUGCGCUGCCUGUGCCCUGCCUGCUUGGGUUACGGGACUUCGUGAUGGGGAAUGCAACUUUUGAAGUUAUCUAGGACAGCAGAAACUUGACCCUCGUUCAAACACAGCGUAUAGUCCAACAAAGGCUUAUUAUUCCUGACUUCCAAACAGAAUCACACAUGAAGCCAGGCUGGACUGCCAGGACCCUCUCUCAGUGGAAAGGAAUGAAAGGGAGGGGUACCAGGAGGCAGACGGGGUACAAGAAGCGUGCUUUGUGUAGCUUUCCUAUUACACACGCAGGUUUUUUCUCUUGCACCUGUUGUUUCCACUCAAACACAAAACUAUUUAAAGGCAGUCUGCAAAAGGAGAGGGGAGAGAGAGGGUGUGGAGGGUUGAAGAUGCAAUUCAUUCUUUGCAUCCUUUUCUCUUCCCCAAUAUUUAUAGAUCCUUGCUUCCCCUUCACAGGACUAAUUUUCAGCUGCUCUUUCAAGGCACUGCAAGUUUGCCUGGAAGAAUCCAAGGUGGCUGGAGAGCUAGGAAAACGUUUGAAGCUUAAAGCAUUUAAAAGGUUUUAACAAAUCGAAUGCCCUCAGGCAAUUUUCUGGGGAAAAUGAACUCCAUUAAAUUAAGGGCCAGGACGUGGGCAUUGCCUGUGCUGAAAUAAAACACAGCCUCCAGCAAGGACAUCUCAUCAGAUGACCAAAGUUAAUAUUGGUUGAAUGUUUAAAAAUAUCCUUCCCUUCCUUUAAAAACAUGUCGAUCCACUUGGGAGCAUUUCUACUUCUUAAGAGCUAAAAAAAAAGAGGGGUGGGAAGACAAAAAGGCAACCUUCUAGGAAAACAACCACGACUCGGGUUUAUUCAAUGUGGAACAACAGCUGAAAGGAAUAAUAUUAGCUUGCAACUUUUUCCAUAUCCUGUGGAAAUGCUGUGGAACAGCUCCUUUUCUCCCUGUUCACCAGUCCUGCAGCCUUCCCUGUUCGCUGUGUGCAGCGCCU
This is a long non-coding RNA of Cygnus olor (mute swan), 3139 nucleotides long. RefSeq lists it as uncharacterized. The transcript has 3 exons. Lineage: Eukaryota; Metazoa; Chordata; Aves; Anseriformes; Anatidae. The record is from RefSeq and is a predicted model, not a curated record.